This 72-nucleotide transfer RNA is filed under the name Bos taurus (domestic cattle). It matches the Rfam family "tRNA". Rfam says of the family: Transfer RNA (tRNA) molecules are approximately 80 nucleotides in length. Their secondary structure includes four short double-helical elements and three loops (D, anti-codon, and T loops). The record is from Rfam by way of RNAcentral. RNAcentral also lists the same sequence under 5 other names. Lineage: Eukaryota; Metazoa; Chordata; Mammalia; Artiodactyla; Bovidae.
UCCCUGGUGGCUCAGAGGGUAAAGCAUCUGCCUACAAUGUAGUAGACCUGGGUUCGAUCCCUGGGUUGGGAA